RNAcentral lists this ribosomal RNA (253 nucleotides) under uncultured bacterium. RNAcentral's name for it is "partial 16S ribosomal RNA". It matches the Rfam family "Bacterial small subunit ribosomal RNA", at positions 524 to 776 of the family's 1533-position model. The record is from RNAcentral.
UACGAAGGGGGCUAGCGUUGCUCGGAAUCACUGGGCGUAAAGCGCACGUAGGCGGAUUGUUAAGUCAGGGGUGAAAUCCUGGAGCUCAACUCCAGAACUGCCUUUGAUACUGGCGAUCUUGAGUCCGGGAGAGGUGAGUGGAACUGCGAGUGUAGAGGUGAAAUUCGUAGAUAUUCGCAAGAACACCAGUGGCGAAGGCGGCUCACUGGCCCGGUACUGACGCUCAGGCACGAAAGCGUGGGGAGCAAACAGG